Molecule: ribosomal RNA, 457 nt
Filed under: uncultured bacterium
Lineage: Bacteria
Description: partial 16S ribosomal RNA
Rfam family: Bacterial small subunit ribosomal RNA
Source: RNAcentral
CCUACGGGUGGCAGCAGUGGGGAAUAUUGCACAAUGGGGGAAACCCUGAUGCAGCGACGCCGCGUGAGUGAAGAAGUAUUUCGGUAUGUCAAGCUCUAUCAGCAGGGACGAAAUAGCGACCUUUGGUUCGCCAGACGGUACCUGAUUAAGCAGCGCCGGCUAACUACGUGCCAGCAGCCGCGGUAAUACGGAGGAUGCGCGCGUUAUCCGGAUUUAUUGGGUUUAAAGGGUGCGCAGGCGGAAUGUCAAGUCAGCGGUAAAAUUUCGGGGCUCAACCCCGUCGUGCCGUUGAAACUGGCGUUCUUGAGUGAGCUAGAGGUGUGCGGAAUGCGUGGUGUAGCGGUGAAAUGCAUAGAUAUCACGCAGAACUCCGAUUGCGAAGGCAGCAUACCGGCGCUCAACUGACGCUCAUGCGCGAAAGCGUGGGUAUCGAACAGGAUUAGAUACCCUUGUAGUC